AGAAUCAACGCUGGCGGCGUGCCUAAUACAUGCAAGUCGAACGCGAAAGUCCCGAAAGGGAUAAGUAGAGUGGCAAACGGGUGAGUAACACGUGGGUGACCUGCCUUCGAGUGGGGGAUAACGUCUCGAAAGGGACGCUAAUACCGCAUGAGCAUCCUGCCUUUGAACAGGUGGAGAUUAAAGCCGGGGAUCGCAAGACCUGGCGCUUGAAGAGGGGGCCCGCGUCCGAUUAGCUAGUUGGUGGGGUAACGGCUCACCAAGGCAACGAUCGGUA
This 274-nucleotide ribosomal RNA is filed under the name uncultured bacterium. Its description in RNAcentral is "partial small subunit ribosomal RNA". It matches the Rfam family "Bacterial small subunit ribosomal RNA", at positions 26 to 285 of the family's 1533-position model. The record is from RNAcentral.